RNAcentral lists this unclassified non-coding RNA (117 nucleotides) under uncultured fungus. RNAcentral's name for it is "sequence contains ITS1". The record is from RNAcentral. Lineage: Eukaryota; Fungi.
CGUGUCAGAAAGGGCAUUCUCGCUUAUCUGUAUAUGAGAAUUGGGUCACCGCGGCAGAGCUUCAAUCGAAAUAGUGAUUCUUUGGCCAGGUUUGCUUAUCCAACCCUCGAGUUUAAG